RNAcentral lists this ribosomal RNA (253 nucleotides) under uncultured bacterium. RNAcentral's name for it is "partial 16S ribosomal RNA". It matches the Rfam family "Bacterial small subunit ribosomal RNA", at positions 524 to 776 of the family's 1533-position model. The record is from RNAcentral.
UACAUGGGGUGCAAACGUUGCUCGGAAUUAUUGGGCGUAAAGGGCGCGUAGGCGGCCUUCUAAGUCGGACGUGAAAUCCCUCGGCUUAACCGAGGAACUGCGUCCGAUACUGAAAGGCUUGAAUCCGGGAGAGGGAUGUGGAAUUCCAGGUGUAGCGGUGAAAUGCGUAGAUAUCUGGAGGAACACCGGUGGCGAAGGCGGCAUCCUGGACCGGUAUUGACGCUGAGGCGCGAAAGCUAGGGGAGCAAACGGG